GACGUAGGGCGCGAGCGUUGUCCGGAUUUAUUGGGUGUAACGAAGCGUCGUAGGCGGCUUGUCGCGUCGUCCGUGAAAACCCACAGCUCAACUGUGGGCUUGCGGUCGAUACGGGCAGGCUAGAGUUCGGUAGGGGAGACUGGAAUUCCUGGUGUAGCGGUGAAAUGCGCAGAUAUCAGGAGGAACACCGAUGGCGAAGGCAGGUCUCUGGGCCAUAACUGACGCUGAGAAGCGAAAGCAUGGGGAGCGAACAGG
Molecule: ribosomal RNA, 255 nt
Filed under: uncultured bacterium
Lineage: Bacteria
Description: partial 16S ribosomal RNA
Rfam family: Bacterial small subunit ribosomal RNA
Source: RNAcentral